This 1050-nucleotide long non-coding RNA is filed under the name Coturnix japonica (Japanese quail). RNAcentral's name for it is "lncRNA (ENSCJPG00005004237.1)". Lineage: Eukaryota; Metazoa; Chordata; Aves; Galliformes; Phasianidae. The record is from RNAcentral.
GCCUGUAUGUAUUCUACAUAUAUCGUACUACUAAAAUCAAUCUGUUGAGGUUAGUUUCCAUUUCAAGGAGAGUAGAGAAUCACAACCACCAGCUCCUAUCAUGUGCUGCAUCGUAUCAAUUAAAAUUAAAUUAAAUUAAAUUUCAUGCAAAGAACACAACUUAAAAAAAUCCCAGCAAAUAACAACAGAACCUUUCCACUAAUGAUUUUCAGUCAUCGGAAGUAGAGAGAGACUCAGACAGCAGACAGCAUGGUCCCAGCAUGCUUUUUGCCUUUUUUUUUGUUUGCACAGUAGCUGUCAGUUGCAGCCCUGCAGGAUAAUUAAAAGAGAAUCCUGUAAAGGCAACAUUCCUUCAAGCAAGUUGGUGCUGUAACGUUCUGAUCUCCUAAUAUGAAUCACUUAUUCCAGACUGCUCUUUGAAGAAGGCAUCCACUGAUAUAUCUGAGAUUAAAUGAGUCACUCAUGAUGGAUUGUGCUUCAUGGCUUUAUAUACCACAGAAAAUUAUGCAUUUUACACUGCCUUGUAAAAUAACCAUUUAUCUAAGUAAACAUAUUGACUCCUUUUGGGUUCAUAUGAAAACUAUCCUGGGCUGUGAAUCUUAAUUUAGCAAGCUCAUGACAGGCAGGAAAAAGGACAGCUAACAAUGAUGGAGAAGAAUCAGUUACUUAAAUGUCAAUAGAGGGAGUUUAAAAAAUGAACUCAAAGUAACAGAUCAAUUUGUUCCCAAGUGUCCAGUCAGAGAUACAGGACUGGCAACUUCUACCACCUUUAUAUGCUGAUAUGCUGAUAUGAUGUCAAUUCAAGCUCAACAACAGCUUGUGAUGGAGAAAGAAAUGAGGCCAAACAGAACAAAGACAACUGGCUUGAUAUCACUUUACACAGACUCUAUCUCUUUCCACAAUUGCUAUGAUUUUCACAAGAUAAUUGGAUGGCUGGUCACCAGGGAGUGCUUAAGUGUUCCCAGACUCUUGUCGGCAGGGCAGAACAGAGCAUGCAACAGAAGUCCCAAGACCAGCUCUGCAAGGGCUCCACACCAAACUGCAGACUGA